CCAGUGUGAGUAGAUAAAUAGGUACUGCUGUGGUGGGAAAGUCAAUGGCAUUUCUGUGUGCUCUGGUUUUCGUUACGGUGUUCUGUUGCACCAGAAGCAGUUUAGUCAUGCUGACCACAUGACCUGGAAAGCUGUCUGUGGACAAACGCCGGCUCCCUCAGCCUGAAAGCAAGAAGAGCACCGCAACCCCAUAGUCACCUUUGAUUGCACUUAACUGUCCGGGGGUCCUUUACCUUUUUACCUUACUGAGAAAUAUUUUGUUUACAAGUAUUUCCCUUGUACAGGCAGAGAAUUUGUCUCAAAGUCAAGACCAGAAAUGUCCAGGGGGCGGGGGGAUGGUGUUAAGAAGCAAAGCAAAGGAGAUGUGGGAAGUGAAAGCAAGGACAAACAUUAAGGGCAAGUGUUAAGAAAGAAACCCAGUUGCCACAGAGAACAUUUGCAAUUCUAAGCACGGGCCCUUGGGCCCUUGUUGAUGUUCUGUAAUGAGUGAGUAAGAAUGACGCAGGCAGCUAAAAGUGGAGGACGGGGUUCUUCGCUCUAUUAGAAAGGCCAAAUGCUGCCUUCAUUUCAGGUUGCUCAACUUCAUUACAUUCAGAGCAGGUUGCACAUGUAUGUGAUGGCAGACUUUGGCCUCCAUCCAGGAGACAUUGAUUACACGGUCACCAGAGCUAAUCACAAUCAAUGGUGCCAAGAAAUUAGGUCAUCCUAGUCCAAAACCCAGUAGUAUGUGUACUGCAGUAUGAUAACAGGGACACCAGCAAAAUGAAUCUGAAAAAGGCAAACAUUAGCCCAGUGCUUUGAACUCAGGAGGCAGGUGGCAAGACACACAAAGGAAGGAGUCUGUGACCAGGACUCUACAAUUCCAUCCCCUUCAGAUUCAAUAGGACUUACUUCUACAUAGACAUGGAUAGGUUUGUGUUCACAGCUCCUGCGCAAGAGUUAACCUUGGCUUCUGCUUAUCCAGAAAAACAGCAGCUUCAGUUGUUGCAGAAGAAGAAAUGAACUUCUUGAAGCUAUUUAAACUCAUUUCACUUAUGGAGCCUUGCUUUUCAUGUUUGGUUAAAGCCUGCCAUAUGAAGGAAUUCGCUGGACAUCCCAUGGUGGUCUGGGGCUAUGGGUGUCCUAUGCCAUUGGAAAACUGCCUGAACAUUGCCUCCUAAAAUUGACUCUUGUUUACAUUUGCCAAAAUGUUUUCAUUAUGUCUCCUAGUGUAGCCACUGUUUCAAGAGGUGUGAAUCCAUGUUUAUGGCCAGCUGUGUACCUGAGGGAGCAGUUUUGAAAAAGAUCUCUACAGUAGCAACCUCCCCAAACCUUGCUUCCACAAUUCCACAAAGGGCAAUCUAAGGGACUGUGCCAGAAACCAUGCCUGAACUGGGGGACUCUGGGAACUCUGGCCAUCAGUCAAGACAUUGGUGAGCCUUCACAACAAUCAGGCAUAAUGGAAGAUAUAUUGGGUAAAAACUAGUCCAGUUGACAUUAGUGUGGGAGGUUUCUCAUCUUGGUUUUUAUCAGGCUUUUGACCGAAAUCCUGUGCUUCCUUUUUCAUUAAACUUAUAAACAAUCUUCCCUAGUAAAGGGGUUAAUUUUAAGCUCAUUCAUCUUACACAGACGUGAAAUAUUUUCUCCAGCACAUAAAUUACAAAUUUUAAUAAACCAGGACUUUGAUUGCUCUAUGUGGUUUGACCUGCAUUGUAAUCUAGGAGAGAUGACUUGACACGGUUCCAAAAGUCAGUUUCUGUUUUGCAUGUUAGAAGAUCUAAAAAUUUGGGCAUGUACAGGUUUUCAUGGCCUAUGAGCAAACAAUAUUGUUGCUCAAAAGUUAUUUGACCGGCUCAUGAAAAUAAUUGCUUUUGCCGGAAAGUGAUCAUUAUUUGCUUAGAAAAAAGUUCAAUUCAUUGUUAACAUGGAUUAUCUUUAAUUUAUGUUCAUAUACCCUACAAUCAUUUCCCCACUCAAAUUAAACUGGGUUUGUAAUUGGAAACAAGGCUUCAAUUUCACCCUACAGCCAUGAUCACCGAAUUUCUUUCAACUGAGAAUGCACGAUCCAAAAUCUGGAAAUGUUUCAAGGUCAAGUUCAGUUCCUUGGUGUUCCAAGUUACUAAAUCCAAGCUUCUGUGUAAUGCAAAAGCUUUGUGUAUAUUUUCUGCAAAUUCAAAAGAAUUUAGCAGAGAUUGUAUGGUUGUGAUAUAUACGAAUACAUGAAUCAGUGAUCAUGUUUUAUUUUUUUAUUAUAUUUAUACCCCACAUUUCCCCCCAAGACCUCACAACAACCCUAUGAGGUAAAAUAGGCUGAAUAGUCCCAGGUCACCUGGUAAGAUUAUUGAGUGAGCAGGAAUUUGAACCUGGGUCUCCCUGGUGCCCUUGUCCAACACUCUAACCACUACACCACACUGGCUAACCAUUUUAUUUAAUAGCAUAUUUAUUUAGUAUUAUUUUAUAAUCUGCUACAUUCCUAUCCCGUCUCAAGAAGGUGCAUGUGGUUUUCCUUGCUUCCAUUUUAUCCUCACGACAACGCUGCAGCUAGGCUGGGAUAACAACUGGCCCAAGGUCACCCAAUGAGCUUCAUGAUUCAGUGGGGAUUUGACCCUGGGCCUCCAUAGUCCUAGUCUGAUGCCUUAAUCACUACACCACACUGGCAUAUGAUAUUCAAGCAUACUGACC
Molecule: long non-coding RNA, 2661 nt
Filed under: Podarcis lilfordi (Lilford's wall lizard)
Lineage: Eukaryota; Metazoa; Chordata; Lepidosauria; Squamata; Lacertidae
Source: RNAcentral